Molecule: ribosomal RNA, 477 nt
Filed under: uncultured bacterium
Lineage: Bacteria
Description: partial 16S ribosomal RNA
Rfam family: Bacterial small subunit ribosomal RNA
Source: RNAcentral
AGUGAACGCUGGCGGCGUGCUUAACACAUGCAAGUCGAACGGACUUUAAGAGCUUGCUCUUAAAGUUAGUGGCGCACGGGUGAGUAACACGUAGACAAUCUGCCCCCUAGUAAGGGACAACAGGUGGAAACGACUGCUAAUACCUUAUACUCCUUCUUGGCAUAAGUCAAGUCGGGAAAGUUUUUUCGCUAUGGGAUGAGACUGCGGUGUAUCAGCUAGUUGGUGAGGUAAUGGCUCACCAAGGCUAUGACGGAUAGCUGGUUUGAGAGGAUGAUCAGCCACACUGGAACUGAGACACGGUCCAGACUCCUACGGAAGGCAGCAGUGGGGAAUUUUACACAAUGGGCGAAAGCCUGAUGUAGCAACGCCGCGUGGAGGAUGACGGAUUUCGGUUUGUAAACUCCUUUUAUAAGGGAAGAAAUUUGACGGUACCUUAUGAAUAAGCACCGGCUAACUCCGUGCCAGCCGCCGCCGUAA